This 420-nucleotide ribosomal RNA is filed under the name uncultured archaeon. RNAcentral describes it as "partial 16S ribosomal RNA". It matches the Rfam family "Archaeal small subunit ribosomal RNA", at positions 323 to 746 of the family's 1478-position model. The record is from RNAcentral.
CUACGGGACGCUCCAGUUAGGAGUAAUCUGCAAUGCGCGCAAGCGUGACAGUUUGAGCCAGAGUGUUUUUCAAUGAAAAACUUUUGCCAAGUGUAAAAAGCUUGGCGAAUAAGGACUGGGUAAGACUGGUGCCAGCCGCCGCGGUAAUACCAGCGGUCCAAGUCGCAGCCAUAUUUAUUGGGUCUAAAACAUCCGUAGCUUGUUUGAUAAGUUUCUUGUGAAAUCCUUUCUCCUAAAGAAAGGGCGGGCAAGAAGUACUGUCAAGCUAGAGACCGGGAGGCGUAAGGAGUACGGUUGAAGUAACAGUAAAAUGUAUUAAUCUCAGCCGGACUAACAACAGCGAAGGCAUCUUACGAGAACGGUUCUGACAGUGAGGGAUGAAAGCCAGGGGCGCAAAACGGAUUAGAUACCCGUGUAGUC